GAUGAACGCUGGCGGCGUGCUUAACACAUGCAAGUCGAACGGAAAGGCCCAAGCUUGCUUGGGUACUCGAGUGGCGAACGGGUGAGUAACACGUGGGUGAUCUGCUCUGCACUUCGGGAUAAGCCUGGGAAACUGGGUCUAAUACCGGAUAGGACGAUGGUUUGGAUGCCAUUGUGGAAAGUUUUUUCGGUGUGGGAUGAGCUCGCGGCCUAUCAGCUUGUUGGUGGGGUAAUGGCCUACCAAGGCGUCGACGGGUAGCCGGCCUGAGAGGGUGUACGGCCACAUUGGGACUGAGAUACGGCCCAGGCUCCUACGGGGGGCAGCAGGGGGGGAUAUUGCACAAUGGGGGCGAGCCUGAUGCAGCGACGCCGCGUGGGGGAUGACGGCCUUCGGGUUGUAAACCCCUUUCGCUAGGGACGAAGCGUUUUUGUGACGGUACCUGGAGAAGAAGCACCGGCUAACUACGUG
Molecule: ribosomal RNA, 468 nt
Filed under: uncultured bacterium
Lineage: Bacteria
Description: partial 16S ribosomal RNA
Rfam family: Bacterial small subunit ribosomal RNA
Source: RNAcentral